This 997-nucleotide long non-coding RNA is filed under the name Equus caballus (horse). RNAcentral's name for it is "lncRNA (ENSECAG00000047385.1)". Lineage: Eukaryota; Metazoa; Chordata; Mammalia; Perissodactyla; Equidae. The record is from RNAcentral.
GGGGGGUGGGGGGCGGGGCCGGGAGGAGGAUGACAGGGGAUUGGUCCAGCUGCCGCAGGUGGGGCGGUGGCGGUGGCGCUGGCGGCGGCGGCAGCUGGGGCAGUCGGGCGACAGGACCUGGACAUCCCCGGUCCACAGUUCGCAAGAGGAUCCGGAGGGUAAGCGCCAGCGGCCACCGGCAGGGAGACUGGCAGCGACCUUACGGGACGCCCGCGCGCCGGCCCAGAGCCCGCCUGUCGGGGCGCAGCCCCGCCCCCGGGGCGCGUCCUUCCUGGGCACAGGGACUUCCUGCCGCUGUGGCUACGGCUCCGGGGCCGGGAAGGCGGCGGUGCCCCAGCCCGGUUGCCGGGGCCGCUCUGGCCGCUUCUCUUCCUUUCCGUGGUCCUCAUCUCCCUCCCGCCGGCCUUCCUGAGCCACGAGCUCCAGGUCUUUGCGCGGAACGGCCGCGGAAAAGAUGGAGUUUCCGCUGGGGUGGGUGGCGUGGGGUUUCUCUGGUCUGCAGGUGGCAGUGUUGCGCUGUGGAGCCGCCCAGCCGCCCUCCUGCCCCGCCCUUCGUGCUUCAAAAAACUGCGCGGAGCCUUGUCCGUGGAGAGGGCGGCUUCUUUCUGCGUCUGCGCGGGCUGGGCCGCUCCCGGGCCGGCUGCAGCCUUCAGCGCGCCCCCUUCGGAAAAUUCCCUGCCUGCCGGCAAGGCCCGUUUGCUUUUCCAGUUGGCCUUUCUCCUCCGGAGCUGCCUAGGUUCCUUCGCAUCUUGUAUUUCUGCCUCUCGGAAUCGUCUUGUCAAGGGUUUUAAACGAUCAUAAUCUUAAUAAAAGGAAAAGAAAAAAGAAAACUUCCCACAAUGAAUCCCUGGUGCUGCCGUAACUUUACCGGUAAAACGUACCAAAUGCGGACAGAAGAAUUAGUAAGCAAACUUCACAAACGCUUUCAAAAAAUAGAAGUAGAGGGAACACUUCCAAACUCUGGGGCCAGUAUCGCCCUGAUACCAAAACCAGACAA